UAAACAUCUACUUUAUUACAGGUAUUCAACUGUAUCCUUGAAAAUUACAUGUAAUAUCAAUAGUGCUUGUUACCCUGUUCAUAUACCUGUAAUACCCCAUCCGUCCACACGAGGGCAGUGUUGUUCAACACAGCGAGUUCAACUCUCCAAACGGUCUGCCCAAAGAAGAUACGUACAACAACGACACUUGUACUCGUGUGUUAGAGAACAGACUUAAACCGAGUCAAACCAGCCCAACUGACGACAGUUAUACGACAACAUUAAUUUGAUUUUAACAAACUUGUCUGAAACAGCCAUUAAGUCUCUAUCGUCCGUUUCGCGGUGUACUAUGUGUAAUGUCAUUUUUGUAGUCGCGGAAACGUACGUUGUUUUUUUUUUAAUUUUUAUCCCGAUUAUCACUGAACGAACAAGUCGGUGAACUCGUGUGCACAAAGGAAGCAGCCGCUGUCGCCGCCUGUGGCCAAUUUGUUUUCCAUCACUUCUGAGGAGCGGCU
Cynoglossus semilaevis (tongue sole) is the source of this 494-nucleotide long non-coding RNA. RefSeq lists it as uncharacterized. Lineage: Eukaryota; Metazoa; Chordata; Actinopteri; Pleuronectiformes; Cynoglossidae. The record is from RefSeq and is a predicted model, not a curated record. The transcript has 2 exons.